RNAcentral lists this ribosomal RNA (401 nucleotides) under uncultured bacterium. RNAcentral's name for it is "bacterial SSU rRNA". It matches the Rfam family "Bacterial small subunit ribosomal RNA", at positions 30 to 432 of the family's 1533-position model. The record is from RNAcentral.
AUUGAACGCUGGCGGCAUGCCUUACACAUGCAAGUCGAACGGCAGCACGGGAGCUUGCUCCUGGUGGCGAGUGGCGAACGGGUGAGUAAUAUAUCGGAACGUACCCUAGAGUGGGGAUAACGCAGCGAAAGUUGCGCUAAUACCGCAUACGAUCUACGGAUGAAAGUGGGGGAUCGCAAGACCUCAUGCUCAUGGAGCGGCCGAUAUCAGAUUAGGUAGUUGGUGAGGUAAAGGCUCACCAAGCCGACGAUCUGUAGCUGGUCUGAGAGGACGACCAGCCACACUGGGACUGAGACACGGCCCAGACUCCUACGGGAGGCAGCAGUGGGGAAUUUUGGACAAUGGGCGCAAGCCUGAUCCAGCAAUGCCGCGUGCAGGAUGAAGGCCUCGGUUGGUAACUA